UACGUAGGGUGCGAGCGUUGUCCGGAAUUAUUGGGCGUAAAGGGCUCGUAGGCGGUUUGUCGCGUCGGGAGUGAAAUCCACUGGCUUAACUGGUGGCUUGCUUUCGAUACGGGCAGACUGGAGGUAUGCAGGGGAGAACGGAAUUCCUGGUGUAGCGGUGAAAUGCGCAGAUAUCAAGCGGAACACCAGUGGCGAAGGCGAGUCCCUGGACAACUCCUGACACUGAGGCACGAAAGCUAGGGGAGCAACAGG
This 252-nucleotide ribosomal RNA is filed under the name uncultured bacterium. RNAcentral describes it as "partial 16S ribosomal RNA". It matches the Rfam family "Bacterial small subunit ribosomal RNA", at positions 524 to 775 of the family's 1533-position model. The record is from RNAcentral.